GGAAUUUUGCGCAAUGGGGGAAACCCUGACGCAGCAACGCCAUGUGUGGGAUGAAGCAUUUCGGUGUGUAAACCACUGUCAGCGGGGAAUAAACGGCAGCUUUGGGCUGCUUUGCAUGUACCCGCACAGGAAGCCCCGGCUCACUUCGUGCUAGCAGCCGCGGUAAUACGAGGGGGGCAAAUGUUGUUCGGAAUCACUGUGCGUAAAGGGAGCGUAGGCGGGUUUUUAAGUUAGGUGUUUAAUCCCGGGGCCCAACCCCGGACCGGCACUUAAAACUGGGAAUCUUGAAUAGUGGAGAGGUCGGUUGAAUUGGGGGUGUAGCGGUGGAAUGCGUAGAGAUCCCCAAGAACACCAGUUGCGAAGGCGGCCGACUGGACACAUAUUGACGCUGAGGCUCGAAAGCAUGGGGAGCAAAC
This 416-nucleotide ribosomal RNA is filed under the name uncultured bacterium. Its description in RNAcentral is "bacterial SSU rRNA". It matches the Rfam family "Bacterial small subunit ribosomal RNA", at positions 358 to 773 of the family's 1533-position model. The record is from RNAcentral.